Molecule: ribosomal RNA, 394 nt
Filed under: uncultured Sphingomonas sp.
Lineage: Bacteria; Pseudomonadati; Pseudomonadota; Alphaproteobacteria; Sphingomonadales; Sphingomonadaceae
Description: bacterial SSU rRNA
Rfam family: Bacterial small subunit ribosomal RNA
Source: RNAcentral
GUGGCGCACGGGUGCGUAACGCGUGGGACUCUGCCCUUGGGUUCGGAAUAACAGUUGGAAACGACUGCUAAUACCGGAUGAUGUCGUAAGUCCAAAGAUUUAUCGCCCAAGGAUGGGCCCGCGUAGGAUUAGCUAGUUGGUGAGGUAAAGGCUCACCAAGGCGACGAUCCUUAGCUGGUCUGAGAGGAUGAUCAGCCACACUGGGACUGAGACACGGCCCAGACUCCUACGGGAGGCAGCAGUAGGGAAUAUUGGACAAUGGGCGAAAGCCUGAUCCAGCAAUGCCGCGUGAGUGAUGAAGGCCUUAGGGUUUUAAAGCUCUUUUACCCGAGAUGACAAUGACAGUACCGGGAGAAUAAGCCCCGGCUAACUCCGUGCCAGCAGCCGCGGUAAU